This 474-nucleotide long non-coding RNA is filed under the name Pan troglodytes (chimpanzee). RNAcentral's name for it is "long non-coding RNA NONPTRT001508". Lineage: Eukaryota; Metazoa; Chordata; Mammalia; Primates; Hominidae. The record is from RNAcentral.
CGCUGAGGUCAUCUGUGUCAAGCCAGAGAUGAGGACUUGCUGUGGUGCCCAGGCUGGAGUUCAGUGACCAGUCACAGGCGUGAUCAUAGCUCGCUGCAGCCUCAAACUCCUGGCCUCAAGACAUCUUCCUGCCUCAGCCUCCCAAGUGGCUGGGACCACAGAGUGCAACAUGCCUGGCUGGAUCAGUUGUUCUAUAGAAUGUCUGCCAAUUUGAAUUAUUCUGAUACUUUCUCAUAAUUGGAAUGAAGUUAUGGAUUUUUGGCAAGAAUACCACAGAAAUGAUGUUGUGGUGUCCUCAGGGCAUCAUACUAAGGGGUUGAUAAUCUCUGUGUCUUAUUAUUGAUAUUUACUUUGAUUGCUUUGGUUAAGUGGGUGUCUGCCAUGUUUUUUACUAUAAAGUUACCAUUUUUCCCUUUGUAGUUAGUAUGUAUCUUAGGGAAAUAUGUUGAAACUAUGCAAAAUCUAUUCUCAAAC